AUCGUCACCACCCUGAAUGUUCUUACAUCGCGGAGUGGAGCACCGUGUGCCUGACACGAAUCUUGGCGCCAUCGCCGAACAAUAAGAACUCGGUAAUUGCUGCAAGAUUUUGCUCUCGACGCGGACUUCAUGUUGCGCGAACGUGAUAUACUGCGCCGAGAGGCCACGUGACCGACUGUGCCGACGAUUGCCGGCUUAUCGCAAAUAUGCCGUAGUGCACAUGCGUAGUGGCAAGAGGCAAAUGUUAUGAGAUAACUGGAAUGGUUUGAGGAUCCCGGCUCAAAUCGGAGAGUAAUUUUGCAUAUGAACUGCGAUUGCGUUCGGCGCAGUCGCUGUCGGUCACUGCCCAAAGCGGCAACUUAGGGCCGUUGGAGGCGUCUACGCAAACAACAUCGGAGCCAAGCGAGCCGCGAUGCAGCUGUAAUACUCGAGCAGCUCGACCGCGGCGUAAGCCGUAGAUUGCAGAGCCAGACCUGUUGGAGUCAUAGUAGCUCUACACUUUGCAUAAGAACAUCUGCGUCGGAAACUUUACAGCUUUACUAUGACAAAAGUGUCCCCCUUGCAAGGCGGCGAUGGUAAGAAACCACGCCCCCUGUGGGCGAGGCUGUCAACUAGGGCGGCCGAAUCCCGGCUGCCCGGUUGGAUCCCUGAGCGAGACCGUUACGAGGCCGGCUCUUCCUCAGGCCCAACGCCCAAGCAGAGCUCCGUCAAAAGGCCGUCCACCAAGCAACACGGCGACCGUAAUGAGCCUGAACCGCCGGGGACUCUGCUGCCAUCAAGGGGCGUCGACAUCCGGCGGCCCGGUGGGAUAUCGGAGCGGGAUUGGCAGGAGGCCGGUCCUUCCUCGGGUGCCAGGCCGAGUCCCGUGAAGAGGUUGGGUCCCUGCUCCAGACCCGCCAAGACGGCGCGAAUGCACCGCAGGACGGCAGCAGUGACCGCCACCGUUUCCGGGAUGCCUCGCCGCCGUCGCUCGCAGGAGGACGUGUCCCGGCAGAGCCAAGCGCUAGCCAACCUGCGCCUCAGUGACCUUGAAAGCGACGACGAUCAGGACGCCGAUGACGCCGGAGGACGCAGUGGCGCUCCUAUGGAGGUCGACCCUGCGCAAUCGUUCUCUAGAGCGUUCGACGAGAUAAUGAGGACAGCUUUGGCGUCCGUACACACGACAGCAUCGUCCUUCGUCGCCGUGAGCGAUCCUGGCCAGCAGUCGGGAGACGACUCUUCUUCUUCGUAGAGACUUCUUCGAACGGCUUCCUGCUUCGAAACACUAGGACACGUGAUUCGUAUGAGACAAAAGGAGCUUAUUACCACCUUAAAUUUAUGGCGAAGUGGACACUGUAAGUUUUAUACGAUUUUUAACCUUGGGCUGCGAUGGGUUACUAAGCCGCGGCUUGUGUUCGAUUACCUUUUUUUUUCUUUUAGUAUAUUUUACGCUUUUGAAUUUUGAGACUGCGUGCCUUGUUGUGCGUACAAACACGUGACUUCCUAACUAUUCUUGCCGGCCUUCAUUCCUUGCACACUUGCGUCAAUUCUGCUCGCAUCUGCUCUGAUACGAUGCUUUCUGCUGUUAUACGAUGCGUCUUCUUUCCCCGGCGUGGGGCUUGGUAUUGGCAGUACGAUUGCGGAAGAUUAUCGGUGACUCUUGCUCUUUUACAGCAAUUAUUGAAAUCAUGGAGGGGGAGCGAGACACAAAACUCGUGUACAGAAGAAAAGAAAACGCAGAUUUUCUUUGUUCUUGAGCAGAUGGUAAGGCGCAUGUGGACAAACAAAAGUCAAGAAUGCAAAGCCGGAGUAGAUUGUCGAGUUGUUAGUUUCUCUGUUUAGCAGCUUAUGGUUACUGCAGUUAAAGCCGCGCUACGUUCCCCGGCAAGACGAACUUAUGUGGGCGAUUGAGCUGCAGCAACGCCAACUGCACAAGUUGUCAUCAUUCUGCUUCUAAAGACAGGUUCAUCUCUGCACAACCCGUUUCGUACAAGUGCUCGCGUUAGAAGAGGUUGCGCACAGUCACUGUGUGAACCGUACUGCGCUUGCGCUCAAGAUACAGCGGAUAACGGUUAGCUACCCCGCCCACUCCCUUGCGGAGCCAACUAAGCGUAACGUAACUGUGCGUGCGUUUGUUCUUCCAGCUUUGCAGACAGCCUGAUGGUGCCUCACUCUUAUCUUUCAAACGUGGUAAUCAAAAAGUCGCAGUUUCGCCCGAAAGGCGAAACAUCGAUUGCGAUAGCAAAUUAGUAGACAGCUUCACGAAGUAAGGAUAGCAGUUUUAGCGGCCGUAUAAACUUGUAAAAAUUCGCUUGCUAAAUUAACUAGUACGGUGAGUG
Dermacentor silvarum is the source of this 2318-nucleotide RNA transcript. RefSeq lists it as uncharacterized. The transcript has 4 exons. Lineage: Eukaryota; Metazoa; Arthropoda; Arachnida; Ixodida; Ixodidae. The record is from RefSeq and is a predicted model, not a curated record.